AAUACCCAAUCCUGACACAGGGAGGUAGUGACAAGAAAUAACAAUACGGGGCUUGAAGUCUUGUAAUUGGAAUGAUGGGAAUUUAAACCCCUUCCAGAGUAUCAAUUGGAGGGCAAGUCUGGUGCCAGCAGCCGCGGUAAUUCCAGCUCCAAUAGCGUAUAUUAAACUUGUUGCAGUUAAAAAGCUCGUAGUUGAAUUUCUGCUGUUUCGUUGACUGCGUUUGGCGUUUGUCAUCGUUGCGGCUUGGUUGGGUUUCGAUUAUUCGUUUCCCGGCGUUUACUUUGUGAAAAUUAGAGUGCUUGAAGCAGGCUUUUGCCUUGAAUACUUUAGCAUGGAAUAACGGAGUAGGACUUUGGUUCUAUUUUGUUGGUUUUAGGAGCCAGAGUAAUGGUUAAUAGGAACAGUUGGGGGCAUUCGUAUUUAAA
Molecule: ribosomal RNA, 425 nt
Filed under: Theileria equi
Lineage: Eukaryota; Apicomplexa; Aconoidasida; Piroplasmida; Theileriidae
Description: SSU rRNA
Rfam family: Eukaryotic small subunit ribosomal RNA
Source: RNAcentral